GCAGCAGGGGGAGUACCUGCCAUUCCAGGCACUCCCCCCUUCUGGCAAUGCUGAGGAUGGCUAUGCCGUCCAUGUGAUUGUGAGGUCCUCACAAGGACCUCACAAUCACAUGGCCCAGGAGCACUGGAAUGGCAGCAGGGGACUCCCUGGGAUGCCAGCGUGGGAUUGCCAGCGACCGGGUAAGUACAUAGGACGGCGGGGACGUGCUAUGGCGCCUGCCGGCAUUUAGAGCCGGUCCCCAAGGACGGCAUAGCACACCUGCCGUCC
Pelobates cultripes (western spadefoot toad) is the source of this 267-nucleotide non-coding RNA. The record is from the annotation of a GenBank genome assembly. NCBI's taxonomy places the organism in Eukaryota, Metazoa, Chordata, Amphibia, Anura, Pelobatidae.